AUUGAACGCUGGCGGCAUGCUUUACACAUGCAAGUCGAACGGCAGCGCGGGCUUCGGCCUGGCGGCGAGUGGCGAACGGGUGAGUAAUGCAUCGGAACGUGCCCAGUAGUGGGGGAUAGCCCGGCGAAAGCCGGAUUAAUACCGCAUACGACCUGAGGGUGAAAGCGGGGGACGGAAAGGCCUCGCGCGAUUGGAGGGGCCGAUGUCGGAUUAGCUAGUUGGUGGGGUAAAGGCUUACCAAGGCGACGAUCCGUAGCUGGUCUGAGAGGACGACCAGCCACACUGGGACUGAGACACGGCCCAGACUCCUACGGGAGGCAGCAGUGGGGAAUUUUGGACAAUGGGGGCAACCCUGAUCCAGCCAUGCCGCGUGCGGGAAGAAGGCCUUCGGGUUGUAAACCGCUUUUGUUCGGGAAGAAAUCCUCUGGGCUAAUACCCCGGGGGGAUGACGGUACCGGAAGAAUAAGCGCCGGCUAACUACGUG
Molecule: ribosomal RNA, 484 nt
Filed under: uncultured bacterium
Lineage: Bacteria
Description: partial 16S ribosomal RNA
Rfam family: Bacterial small subunit ribosomal RNA
Source: RNAcentral